UACAGAGGGUGCAAACGUUGUUCGGAAUUACUGGGCAUAAAGAGCACGUAGGUGGUUCGCUAAGUUACGUGUGAAAUCCCCCGGCUCAACCGGGGAAUUGCGCGUGAUACUGGCGGACUCGAGGCGGGUAGGGGUGAGUGGAAUGCCGAGUGUAGAGGUGAAAUUCGUAGAUAUUCGGCGGAACACCAGUGGCGAAGGCGACUCACUGGCCCGAUACUGACGCUGAGGCGCGAAAGCGUGGGUAGCAAACAGG
RNAcentral lists this ribosomal RNA (253 nucleotides) under uncultured bacterium. RNAcentral's name for it is "partial 16S ribosomal RNA". It matches the Rfam family "Bacterial small subunit ribosomal RNA", at positions 524 to 776 of the family's 1533-position model. The record is from RNAcentral.